This 253-nucleotide ribosomal RNA is filed under the name uncultured bacterium. Its description in RNAcentral is "partial 16S ribosomal RNA". It matches the Rfam family "Bacterial small subunit ribosomal RNA", at positions 524 to 776 of the family's 1533-position model. The record is from RNAcentral.
UACGAAGGGGGCUAGCGUUGUUCGGAAUUACUGGGCGUAAAGCGCACGUAGGCGGAUCUGUAAGUUGGAGGUGAAAUCCCAGGGCUCAACCCUGGAAUUGCCUUCAAGACUGCGGAUCUGGAGGUCAGGAGAGGCGAGCGGAAUUCCGAGUGUAGAGGUGAAAUUCGUUGAUAUUCGGAGGAACACCAGUGGCGAAGGCGGCUCGCUGGACUGAUACUGACGCUGAGGUGCGAAAGCGUGGGGAGCAAACAGG